RNAcentral lists this ribosomal RNA (1352 nucleotides) under uncultured bacterium. RNAcentral describes it as "bacterial SSU rRNA". It matches the Rfam family "Bacterial small subunit ribosomal RNA", at positions 28 to 1381 of the family's 1533-position model. The record is from RNAcentral.
AUUGAACGCUGGCGGCAUGCCUUACACAUGCAAGUCGAACGGCAGCACGGAGCUUGCUCUGGUGGCGAGUGGCGAACGGGUGAGUAAUAUAUCGGAACGUACCCUAGAGUGGGGGAUAACGUAGCGAAAGUUACGCUAAUACCGCAUACGAUCUAAGGAUGAAAGUGGGGGAUCGCAAGACCUCAUGCUCGUGGAGCGGCCGAUAUCUGAUUAGCUAGUUGGUAGGGUAAAAGCCUACCAAGGCAUCGAUCAGUAGCUGGUCUGAGAGGACGACCAGCCACACUGGAACUGAGACACGGUCCAGACUCCUACGGGAGGCAGCAGUGGGGAAUUUUGGACAAUGGGCGAAAGCCUGAUCCAGCAAUGCCGCGUGAGUGAAGAAGGCCUUCGGGUUGUAAAGCUCUUUUGUCAGGGAAGAAACGGUGAGAGCUAAUAUCUUUUGCUAAUGACGGUACCUGAAGAAUAAGCACCGGCUAACUACGUGCCAGCAGCCGCGGUAAUACGUAGGGUGCAAGCGUUAACCGGAAUUACUGGGCGUAAAGCGUGCGCAGGCGGUUUUGUAAGUCUGAUGUGAAAUCCCCGGGCUCAACCUGGGAAUUGCAUUGGAGACUGCAAGGCUAGAAUCUGGCAGAGGGGGGUAGAAUUCCACGUGUAGCAGUGAAAUGCGUAGAUAUGUGGAGGAACACCGAUGGCGAAGGCAGCCCCCUGGGUCAAGAUUGACGCUCAUGCACGAAAGCGUGGGGAGCAAACAAGAUUAGAUACCCUGGUAGUCCACGCCCUAAACGAUGUCUACUAGUUGUCGGGUCUUAAUUGACUUGGUAACGCAGCUAACGCGUGAAGUAGACCGCCUGGGGAGUACGGUCGCAAGAUUAAAACUCAAAGGAAUUGACGGGGACCCGCACAAGCGGUGGAUGAUGUGGAUUAAUUCGAUGCAACGCGAAAAACCUUACCUACCCUUGACAUGGCUGGAAUCCUUGAGAGAUCAGGGAGUGCUCGAAAGAGAACCAGUACACAGGUGCUGCAUGGCUGUCGUCAGCUCGUGUCGUGAGAUGUUGGGUUAAGUCCCGCAACGAGCGCAACCCUUGUCAUUAGUUGCUACGAAAGGGCACUCUAAUGAGACUGCCGGUGACAAACCGGAGGAAGGUGGGGAUGACGUCAAGUCCUCAUGGCCCUUAUGGGUAGGGCUUCACACGUCAUACAAUGGUACAUACAGAGCGCCGCCAACCCGCGAGGGGGAGCUAAUCGCAGAAAGUGUAUCGUAGUCCGGAUUGUAGUCUGCAACUCGACUGCAUGAAGUUGGAAUCGCUAGUAAUCGCGGAUCAGCAUGUCGCGGUGAAUACGUUCCCGGGUCU